GAACGGUCCCCUCGCAGCGAUAGGUAGCGAACCCCGCCAGGCCCGGAAGGGAGCAACGGUAGUUAUCAACUCGGGUGCCGAGGUGUGGCUGUUCGAG
Molecule: signal recognition particle RNA, 97 nt
Filed under: Cellvibrionales bacterium TMED79
Lineage: Bacteria; Pseudomonadati; Pseudomonadota; Gammaproteobacteria; Cellvibrionales
Also listed under: 3 other names
Description: signal recognition particle sRNA small type
Rfam family: Bacterial small signal recognition particle RNA
About the family: The signal recognition particle (SRP) is a universally conserved ribonucleoprotein involved in the co-translational targeting of proteins to membranes. Archaeal SRP consists of a 7S RNA and homologues of the eukaryotic SRP19 and SRP54 proteins.
Source: RNAcentral